This 75-nucleotide transfer RNA is filed under the name Candidatus Mycoplasma haematobovis. RNAcentral's name for it is "Candidatus Mycoplasma haemobos tRNA-Gln". It matches the Rfam family "tRNA". Rfam says of the family: Transfer RNA (tRNA) molecules are approximately 80 nucleotides in length. RNAcentral also lists the same sequence under 3 other names. The record is from RNAcentral. Lineage: Bacteria; Bacillati; Mycoplasmatota; Mollicutes; Mycoplasmatales; Mycoplasmataceae.
UGGGCUGUAGCCAAGCGGUAAGGCACUAGACUUUGACUCUAUGAUGCGAUGGUUCGAAUCCCUCCAGCCCAGCCA